CAGGGACGUGGCCGUAAAGGGGCUCGGGGCUGUCGCGAAAGGGGCUGCAAAGCAACAGGGCGCCGCUGCACGGCUGGGAGGCCAUCUUGGAUGGGACUUGAGCUCCGUUAAGGGGAGAAGUUUUGUAAAGUUUUAUUAAAAGUACACAAAACUCCUGCGCCCGUUGCUCGUCAGGGAGGCGCUCCCGCCGAGCUCGGUCCCGCGCCCAGGGCUCGCGGACGGCCGGACGCGGAAGCGCUGCAGGACCCCCCAACCUCUUCAAGCCCCGCGCACGCCGCCGUGGCCGCGCGCCGGGACGCCGCCGCCCUCGAGCGCGAGCACGUGCGCGCACACCCGGCCGGAAGCUGCGGGAGGUCGCGAGCCUGCGGGGCGAGUUGCUGAGCGAGGUAGCGUUCUGCAUGCACAGUUGACCUUUAUACCCCAGGACUACGGAUUCCCACAGGUGUGAAAGAUAAAGCUGGACACUCCUGAAACUGUAAGUUGUCCAAUAGGUUCACUAUCACUCUCGUUGACUGGUCGGCUGACACCCUGGAAAAGCUGAAACCUGAGAGCCUCUUAUUUUCACCUUGUUGUUUCUCUGGACACAUUCUUUCUCCAUAUACCACUAAAUCUGCAAUGUACUUUAUGUGGUGACCACUGUAGGGAUAACAGAUUGACAAAUGUAUUCUGUUCUGGAAGGAAUUUUUACUUGGAAAAGACUCUCAAGGCAAUUUGAGACUAUAAAUUGAUGAGGUGAUCAUAUUUUUUAUUCUUGGAAUUUCUCAGUGUUUUUAAAUUUGGCUGUUACUGUGCAUUUUACUGUCUCCCAUGUGACCUAAUCAGUGCUGGAAACUCUGGGCCAAGCAAUACACUGUCAGUUGUCCAAGAGUGGAGUUGCUGAAGGAUCCCGCCUGCUUCAUUGGAAGAUGCCACUAGAAGAGGGCAGUUUGGAACUCGUCAUUUCUCUGGGAGACAAAGAAGCUUCCCUCUGAAGUUAAAUCACAUUAUUUGGCACAUAUACUGUGAACUCUUGGGAGAGUUUGGACAACCUGGUGAGAUCUGAUUUGACUUGAAACCUGGAACAUGGUUGUGUUCUUUA
Long non-coding RNA from Mustela lutreola (European mink), 1078 nucleotides. RefSeq lists it as uncharacterized. NCBI's taxonomy places the organism in Eukaryota, Metazoa, Chordata, Mammalia, Carnivora, Mustelidae. The transcript is spliced from 3 exons. The record is from RefSeq and is a predicted model, not a curated record.